Molecule: transfer-messenger RNA, 360 nt
Filed under: Anaerovoracaceae
Lineage: Bacteria; Bacillati; Bacillota; Clostridia; Peptostreptococcales
Also listed under: 1 other name
Description: Emergencia sp009936045 Standard tmRNA
Rfam family: transfer-messenger RNA
About the family: Bacterial tmRNA, also known as 10Sa RNA or SsrA, is named for its dual tRNA and mRNA-like properties. Its role is to liberate the mRNA from a stalled ribosome.
Source: RNAcentral
GGGGGUGUAAAGGUUUCGACGGGGGUGUAGAAGCCGGAUCAGCGAGCCGUAGUCGCCAAGUCUACGUUAAAAGUGGCCGUUUAAAUAUAAACGCUAAAAAGAAUAACAAUUUCGCAUUUGCUGCUUAAUUAACGCAGCGCGCGUGUCAGCUCCGGUUUACCUGUAGGCUGGAGAUCUGGCAUCGAUUAUACAGGAAAACCUUGCGAGAGUUUCCGGUAUCGUAAGGGAUUUACGGAAUAGUGCUUCUGUCAGCUUGCUGACGGGCGGUCAGAGGCGCGAACUUUAAAUCAUCAGCUGCGCUCGGAGAAAGUCCUGUGGAAAUGCUUUCGGACAGGAGUUCGACUCUCCUCAUCUCCACCA